CGAAUCGAAAGCUUGCUUUUGAUUCGUUAGCGGCGGACGGGUGAGUAACACGUGGGCAACCUGCCCUGUAGACGGGGAUAACACCGAGAAAUCGGUGCUAAUACCGGAUAACACGAAAUGUCGCAUGACGUUUCGUUGAAAGACGGCGCAAGCUGUCGCUACAGGAUGGGCCCGCGGCGCAUUAGCUAGUUGGUGAGGUAACGGCUCACCAAGGCGACGAUGCGUAGCCGACCUGAGAGGGUGAUCGGCCACACUGGGACUGAGACACGGCCCAGACUCCUACGGGAGGCAGCAGUAGGGAAUCUUCCGCAAUGGACGAAAGUCUGACGGAGCAACGCCGCGUGAGCGAAGAAGGCCUUCGGGUCGUAAAGCUCUGUUGUUAGGGAAGAACAAGUAACGCAGUAACUGGCGUUACCGUGACGGUACCUAACGAGAAAGCCACGGCUAACUACGUGCCAGCAGCCGCGGUAAUACGUAGGUGGCAAGCGUUGUCCGGAAUUAUUGGGCGUAAAGCGCGCGCAGGCGGUUCCUUAAGUCUGAUGUGAAAGCCCACGGCUCAACCGUGGAGGGUCAUUGGAAACUGGGGGACUUGAGUGCAGAAGAGGAGAGCGGAAUUCCACGUGUAGCGGUGAAAUGCGUAGAGAUGUGGAGGAACACCAGUGGCGAAGGCGGCUCUCUGGUCUGUAACUGACGCUGAGGCGCGAAGCGUGGGGAGCAAACA
Molecule: ribosomal RNA, 721 nt
Filed under: uncultured Bacilli bacterium
Lineage: Bacteria; Bacillati; Bacillota; Bacilli
Description: bacterial SSU rRNA
Rfam family: Bacterial small subunit ribosomal RNA
Source: RNAcentral